Molecule: ribosomal RNA, 253 nt
Filed under: uncultured bacterium
Lineage: Bacteria
Description: partial 16S ribosomal RNA
Rfam family: Bacterial small subunit ribosomal RNA
Source: RNAcentral
UACGUAGGGUGCGAGCGUUAAUCGGAAUUACUGGGCGUAAAGCGUGCGCAGGCGGUUUUGCAAGUCAGAUGUGAAAGCCCCGGGCUCAACCUGGGAAUUGCAUUUGAAACUACAAGGCUAGAGUGUGUCAGAGGGGGGUAGAAUUCCACGUGUAGCAGUGAAAUGCGUAGAGAUGUGGAGGAACACCGAUGGCGAAGGCAGCCCCCUGGGUCAAGAUUGACGCUCAUGCACGAAAGCGUGGGGAGCAAACAGG